UACGUAGGGACCAAGCGUUGUUCGGAUUUACUGGGCGUAAAGGGCGCGUAGGCGGCGCGGUAAGUCACUUGUGAAAUCUCUGAGCUUAACUCAGAACGGCCAAGUGAUACUGCAGUGCUAGAGUGCAGAAAGGGCCAUCGGAAUUCUUGGUGUAGCGGUGAAAUGCGUAGAUAUCAAGAGGAACACCUGAGGCGAAGGCGGGUUGCUAGGCUGACACUGACGCUGAGUGCGCGAAAGCCAGGGGAGCAAACGGG
RNAcentral lists this ribosomal RNA (254 nucleotides) under uncultured bacterium. Its description in RNAcentral is "partial 16S ribosomal RNA". It matches the Rfam family "Bacterial small subunit ribosomal RNA", at positions 524 to 776 of the family's 1533-position model. The record is from RNAcentral.